Long non-coding RNA from Mustela erminea (ermine), 317 nucleotides. RefSeq lists it as uncharacterized. The record is from RefSeq and is a predicted model, not a curated record. NCBI's taxonomy places the organism in Eukaryota, Metazoa, Chordata, Mammalia, Carnivora, Mustelidae. The transcript is spliced from 3 exons.
UGGCUUAUAACCUAGUUACCCUGUGUUGUAGGCCUUAAUAGUCUGGCAUUUGGACUCCACUCUUUCAGUGGAUAUUUAUGCAGAGGCUUUUAGGUGUCAGGCAUGGCCCUAGGCAAUAGGAAUAAAGGGUGAACAAAACGAAGUCCCUACCUUUGUAGAGCUUAUGUUCUUAUUUACUGGCACUGUGACCUUUCGCAAGCACCGUAACCUCUUCAGACUGCACCAGCACAAGGGCAGCACCAUCUGCUUUGCAAAAAUUAUUCCCAGGUUUACAUGAACUAGUGUGAUAAGGUGCAUAGUCCGGUGCCAGGAACACA